RNAcentral lists this ribosomal RNA (402 nucleotides) under uncultured bacterium. RNAcentral's name for it is "bacterial SSU rRNA". It matches the Rfam family "Bacterial small subunit ribosomal RNA", at positions 32 to 413 of the family's 1533-position model. The record is from RNAcentral.
AAUCAACGCUGGCGGCGUGCCUCAGACAUGCAAGUCGAACGCGAAAGUUCCCUUCGGGGGGCGAGUAGAGUGGCGCACGGGUGAGUAACACGUAGGUAAUCUACCUUUGGGUGGGGAAUAACAGCCGGAAACGGCUGCUAAUACCGCAUAAUGCAGCGGCUCGACAUCGAGACAGUUGUUAAAGCGGGGGAUCGCAAGACCUCGCGCCUAAAGAGGAGCCUGCGGCGGAUUAGCUUGUUGGUGAGGUAAUGGCUCACCAAGGCAUCGAUCCGUAGCCGGCCUGAGAGGGCGGUCGGCCACACUGACACUGACAUACGGGUCAGACUCCUACGGGAGGCAGCAGUCGGGAAUUUUGGGCAAUGGGCGCAAGCCUGACCCAGCAACGCCGCGUGAAGGAUGAAA